Molecule: long non-coding RNA, 656 nt
Filed under: Scophthalmus maximus (turbot)
Lineage: Eukaryota; Metazoa; Chordata; Actinopteri; Pleuronectiformes; Scophthalmidae
Description: lncRNA (ENSSMAG00000028946.1)
Source: RNAcentral
CUGUGCUAAAUGCUUCUCAGCUCCAGCUCAACGCACGCAGCGUACACGGGAGUGGUGGAUGUCCUCAUUCUGAUCUCCGGCAGACAAAGAAACAAGAUUUUCCCUCCAAAUCCUGCAGAAUUUUGUGAAAAUGGUGCUGAAAAGAAGUUGAAAACCGCAGAGGACCAGGCAAAGGUGGAGAUGGCAAGAUACAAGGAGGAAGCUCCCCUGCCACUUGUGAACAAUCCACUGGACUGGUGGGAAGAUCAUCAGAGCGAGUAUCCUCUCUUGUCACACGUUGCAAAGAGAUACCUGUGUAUCCGGGGGACUAGCGUCUCUUUGGAGAGUUUUUUCUACUGCAGGGGACAUUAUCACAGCACAGAGGAGUGCACUUUCCCCAGACCAUCUUGAUCAGAUUCCGUUCCUAAACCAAAAUCUGAAAAAGUAGGCCUGCCAAUGUAUCCAUUCAAGGGUUGGACUACAUGUUCUAUGUUUACAUCAUACUGACUGUUUGUUCCAUUCAUUUUGUUUAUAUAGGGUUAUAUAUAUUUAAUAUUAUAGAUUAUAUAUAUAUUUGAUAUGCACUAUGUUAUACAUUUCAGUUCUAUGUUAAGUUCCUGUGCAUAUGCACUUUAUUUUCUUUUUUAAAUGACAGUGUGUCCACUGCAGUGCUUUCA